CAAGUGCAGCAGCAGGUAUUUGUUCCAGGUCUACAGCCCCAUCCCUUGCAACCUCAGGGAAUGAUUCAUCAGGGCCAGGGCUUGAGUUUUACAACUCCAAUGGGGCCUCAACUAUCCCCUCAGUUGGGAAACUUGCAAAUGGGGAUGACUCCGCAAUAUACACAACAACAGCCUGGGAAAUUUGGUGGCCCUCGCAAAACUACUGUCAAGAUUACUCAUCCUGAUACACAUGAGGAGCUGAGGCUUGAUAAACGGGCUGAUCCAUAUUUGGAUGGCGGGUCGUCAGGUCCAUCAGGCCCAAGGUCCCAUCCUAAUUUGCCUCCUCCCUCCCAAUCUAUUCCAUCAUUUACACCCCCACAUCCAAUCAACUUCUAUACCAAUUCCUACAAUGCCAGUUCCCUCUUCUUUCCUUCUCCAAGUUCG
Molecule: long non-coding RNA, 423 nt
Filed under: Vitis vinifera (wine grape)
Lineage: Eukaryota; Viridiplantae; Streptophyta; Magnoliopsida; Vitales; Vitaceae
Description: long non-coding RNA (VVIN_LNC005096)
Source: RNAcentral